GGUUAGGGUUAAGGGAAGGGAGGGGUUAGUUAAAAGGGUUACGGUUAGCUAACUUGCUAAGUAGCUGUAAAGUAGAUAAAAAAUGAGUAAGUCCUGUAGUUGAAAAGUUUCUAAUUAGCUAAAAUUGUCUAUGAUGAGAAUCAAACUUGAAACCUUUGCGUUGCUAGACGUUUGCAUAAGACACGGCAUAGUCAACAUAGCUAAUGGAACUAAUACACUAGUGAACCCGCUACAAUCAUGCAUUACAGCGUAAAGCAAGCCGUUUAGCUGUUACACCGGCGCACCGGUGGCAAUUCAUUAUAUAAAUUGCCUUGACUUGGAAGAGUUCCAGUGUUGGAUAGCCUCAUCCAGCUAGCUAACAUAAAUAGCAUUCCUCUCAGUUUGAGCCGAUUGUUUGAGUGGGCUAAAUUAGCUAGCUGCAGAAGCUAGCUAAGUAAGUGAAAGUGAAAAAGAAGAAAAUUAAAUAUAGCCAACUCUCUCUCUCAUUUGUACAACUAUUGCCUUUCUCUUUCUUUGUGUCAACUACUCAGCACAUUUUAUGCACUGCGGUGCUAGCUAGCUGUAGCUUAUGCAGAAGCUAGCUAAGUAAGUGAAAGUGAAAAAGAAGAAAAUUAAAUAUAGCCAACUCUCUCUCUCAUUUGUACAACUAUUGCCUUUCUCUUUCUUUGUGUCAACUACUCAGCACAUUUUAUGCACUGCGGUGCUAGCUAGCUGUAGCUUAUGCUUUCAGUACUAAAUUAAUUCUCUGAUCCUUUGAUUGGGUGGAAUACAUGUCAGUUCAUGCUGCAAAAGCUCUGAUAGGUUGAAGGAUGUCCUCCGGAAGUCUUCAGAAUUACUGUGUAAGUCUAUGGAAGGGGGUGAGACCAUGAGCCUCCUAGGUUUUGUAUUGAAGUCAAUGUACCCAGAGGAGGAUGGAAAAUAGAUGUCUUCCGGCUAAACCAUGGUGCUACCCCAGAGACUGGUGUUGAGGCUACUGUAUACCUUCAUAGUCUUAUAACUUUUUUAAUGUUUCACUAUUUGUAUUUUUCUGAAAUUCACUGAGUAGGAUGGUCCUCCCCUUCCUCCUCUGAUGAGCCUCAACUGACUUUAAGAAACCCAUUAGUCUACUUGGAGUAACACCCUUGUUGGAAUCCACACAAGCUCUAGGCUGUAGGUUGGUCCUCUCCCAGUUUCUGUUUAGUCCAGGCUGUAGGUUGGUCCUCUCCCAGUUUCUGGUUAGUCUAGGCUGUAGGUUGGUCCUCUCCCAGUUUCUGGUUAGUCUAGGCUGUAGGUUGGUCCUCUCCCAGUUUCUGGUUAGUCCAGGCUGUAGGUUGGUCCUCUCCCAGUUUCUGGUUAGUCCAGGCUGUAGGUUGGUCCUCUCCCAGUUUCUGGUUAGUCCAGGCUGUAGGUUGGUCCUCUCCCAGUUUCUGGUUAGUCCAGGCUGUAGGUUGGUCCUCUCCCAGUUUCUGGUUAGUCCAGGCUGUAGGUUGGUCCUCUCCCAGUUUCUGGUUAGUCCAGGCUGUAGGUUGGUCCUCUCCCAGUUUCUGGUUAGUCCAGGCUGUAGGUUGGUCCUCUCCCAGUUUCUGGUUAGUCCAGGCUGUAGGUUGGUCCUCUCCCAGUUUCUGGUUAGUCCAGGCUGUAGGUUGGUCCUCUCCCAGUUUCUGGUUAGUCCAGGCUGUAGGUUGGUCCUCUCCCAGUUUCUGGUUAGUCCAGGCUGUAGGUUGGUCCUCUCCCAGUUUCUGGUUAGUCCAGGCUGUAGGUUGGUCCUCUCCCAGU
This is a long non-coding RNA of Oncorhynchus keta (chum salmon), 1755 nucleotides long. RefSeq lists it as uncharacterized. The record is from RefSeq and is a predicted model, not a curated record. NCBI's taxonomy places the organism in Eukaryota, Metazoa, Chordata, Actinopteri, Salmoniformes, Salmonidae. The transcript has 3 exons.